AAGGCUGUACAGGAGCGGGGCCCUCCGGUCAGGUAAAGGGAACAGAUUACUUUUUCCCUCGAUGUUAGCGUGUCCCGGGCAGGGCAGUUCCCGCCUCUGCGUGUGUCAUCUUGUAGUUUGUUUCUUCCGUCUGCCGUGUCUCUGUCCUUCCUCGGCUCUAAAUGUCCUCACAUCUCUUUGUGCUCGAGGAGCACGGCACGCGCCUCGGGCGCCAUCCCUAGGGUAUCGAACGCCCAUCUUCAUCGGCACGCUGCCGAUCGGGUGCUUUUUUAUUCUUGCGUUAUAAGCUUGAAGCGUGGGUAGGUCUUGGAAGUUUCCAGUCGAGAGUCUUUCGUGCAGCAUCAUCAUCGCCGGCUGCGGCAUCAGCUCUGCUCCUUAGGCAUCCAUUUUCACGGACUGUGACGUCUUCCCUGCAUCCCUCCAUCCUAGGAUUCGGACUCGUACUUCUCAUCCACCGUCUCGGUUUUGACGGUAGCUUCUUAUAACGGGCCAUAACGUGUGACUCUUUCUGGGGCUGCCGUAUAGCCUCCUCGCCUCCCAGUUGUGGCCCUCUAGGUCUUCUCGCCUGACAUGGUAUCUUGUCUGAGAGUCCUUAUCGCUUAGAGGUUAUCUUGGAAUCAAACCUUUCGUAGCGUUUAGCAUUAGUGUAUGCGUGUGCCUGUUUGGCUCGGAGCUGCCCUGCCUGGGGGGUGUAGAGUCAGGAGUAAGUAGAACAGCAGUAGAAGUCAACGGUUUAAAUGUUGAUACGCUUAGACCGCCUAGGCGACAGAUGUGCGGUCACCUCAUAGUAGCCAUCCAGAGGCUGUGCGGACGGUCGUUUCUAGAGCGUUUUAUGGAGACUGUUGGAGCGGUGUGGGAGCAGCUGUCCAGCAGUAGCAAAUGAGAUGGGAUCUCAAAGGUGUUAAGGCUCGUAGGUGUGGGAGCGUACGCUUUGGGCGGAGGCGCGUGGUUUUCUUUUCAACAACAGGCUGUAGUUGGAUGCCAGCUAGCAUCCCUAGCCGGAAGUGACACCUCCGGAUUUGUUAAGCAUCCGGGUGACUCACAUAACUGUUUUCACAUGCAGAUCGAGGAGAUGCGCCCCAAAGAGUGACGGAGGAGGUGAGCGGAGGGCUGUGAGAAGGUGGGUCACUGAGCGGUGCGGGAGGGAAGAUGGCACCGGUGCUAUCGGAGGGGAUGAUAGCGGUGUGUGGUGUGUUUUGUGGUGUUUUUUGUUUGUUGUUUUUUAGAUGGAGAGCCACAAGCAAAGUAGGAUUUUGGCACCGGAGGCAGCUUGGGCAAGGUGGCACGCGAGCCUUGACGUGACAACUGGAAACGGCAGCGGCAGGGCAGGUGAAGGGCCGAGUUUUUUGUAGGUGCCGCAGAUGGCCGCGGAGGGGCCGAGCCGCACGCAGACGGACAGUGUGAGAAGGUGCUUUGGGAGCCGCCUUUGGGAUCGGAUGAGCGUUUGAAGCGAGCCGGGGUAGUCGCAAGGAGGAUCGUGGGUGACUCGUUAGAAGCGCAAGGGUAACUUUGUCUCUCGGUAUCUUAGGUAACGCCAGCGAUGACGGCUGCACCAUCUG
Tyto alba (common barn owl) is the source of this 1559-nucleotide long non-coding RNA. RefSeq lists it as uncharacterized. The record is from RefSeq and is a predicted model, not a curated record. The transcript is spliced from 4 exons. Lineage: Eukaryota; Metazoa; Chordata; Aves; Strigiformes; Tytonidae.